Molecule: ribosomal RNA, 253 nt
Filed under: uncultured bacterium
Lineage: Bacteria
Description: partial 16S ribosomal RNA
Rfam family: Bacterial small subunit ribosomal RNA
Source: RNAcentral
UACGUAGGGUGCAAGCGUUGUCCGGAAUUAUUGGGCGUAAAGAGCUCGUAGGCGGUUUGUUGCGUCGGCUGUGAAAUCCCGAGGCUCAACCUCGGGUCUGCAGUCGAUACGAGCAAACUAGAGUGUUGCAGGGGAGACUGGAAUUCCUGGUGUAGCGGUGAAAUGCGCAGAUAUCAGGAGGAACACCGGUGGCGAAGGCGGAUCUCUGGGCCUUACCUGACGCUCAGGCGCGAAAGCUAGGGGAGCGAACUGG